GACAGAGGGUGCGAACGUUGCUCGGAAUCAUUGGGCGUAAAGCGCGUGUAGGCGGCAUGGCACGUCGGGUGUGAAAGCCCGGGGCUCAACCCCGGCAGUGCACCCGAAACGACGAUGCUAGAGUGCUAGAGAGGCGGGUGGAAUUCCUGGUGUAGAGGUGAAAUUCGUAGAUAUCAGGAGGAACACCGGUGGCGAAGGCGGCCCGCUGGCUGGCGACUGACGCUGAGACGCGAAAGCGUGGGGAGCAAACAGG
This 253-nucleotide ribosomal RNA is filed under the name uncultured bacterium. Its description in RNAcentral is "partial 16S ribosomal RNA". It matches the Rfam family "Bacterial small subunit ribosomal RNA", at positions 524 to 776 of the family's 1533-position model. The record is from RNAcentral.